This 431-nucleotide long non-coding RNA is filed under the name Cricetulus griseus (Chinese hamster). Its description in RNAcentral is "lncRNA (ENSCGRG00015032348.1)". The record is from RNAcentral. Lineage: Eukaryota; Metazoa; Chordata; Mammalia; Rodentia; Cricetidae.
CUCUGUCUGACUUUGUAUAUGUGGGAUGGGCUUAUACAGCACCCUGAGCUUUCCAGGGCCUAGUUUCUAACAAAAGACCUUUCCACCAGUGUGAAGCAGAUGAUCUUUCUGCAGAGACUCUCAUGGGUGCUAGUACAAGGAGGGAGCUGAGAUCAACAUCUACUGCAGAGUGACAGAAAGCUGUGCCUCCAGUGGACUUUACCUGCAUUUUGUCCUGCCAUCUCUGCUAUGCAGAAAAUCCUGGCCACACCUGAGCCUAGGUCCAUGCGAUGGUCAGAUCCUGGAGGUGCUGAGAACUACAGGAGAGCACCACCACGCUGCUUAUGUGGUGCUGGGAAUUGAAGCCAGGACUCCCUGCAUGCCAGUCAUGUGCUGAUCUGCAGUCUACAAUCUUCACUAAGGCCCAGUCCUUUCUCAGAAUUCUACAUGAG